This 23-nucleotide non-coding RNA is filed under the name Arabidopsis thaliana (thale cress). The record is from RNAcentral. Lineage: Eukaryota; Viridiplantae; Streptophyta; Magnoliopsida; Brassicales; Brassicaceae.
GCUGUCACUUGGCUGUUAUGUGG